RNAcentral lists this non-coding RNA (45 nucleotides) under Schistosoma mansoni. Lineage: Eukaryota; Metazoa; Platyhelminthes; Trematoda; Strigeidida; Schistosomatidae. The record is from RNAcentral.
GUCCAGCUGAUGAGUCCCAAAUUGGACGAUACGCUCGUCCUGGAU